This 495-nucleotide ribosomal RNA is filed under the name uncultured bacterium. RNAcentral describes it as "partial 16S ribosomal RNA". It matches the Rfam family "Bacterial small subunit ribosomal RNA", at positions 30 to 507 of the family's 1533-position model. The record is from RNAcentral.
UGAACGCUGGCGGCGUGCCUACUACAUGCACGUCGAGCGAACAGAUGAGGAGCUUGCUCCUCUGACGUUAGCGGCGGACGGGUGAGUAACACGUGGAUAACCUACCUAUAAGACUGGGAUAACUUCGGGAAACCGGAGCUAAUACCGGAUAAUAUAUUGAACCGCAUGGUUCACUAGUGAAAGACGGUUUUGCUGUCACUUAUAGAUGGAUCCGCGCCGCAUUAGCUAGUUGGUAAGGUAACGGCUUACCAAGGCAACGAUGCGUAGCCGACCUGAGAGGGUGAUCGGCCACACUGGAACUGAGACACGGUCCAGACUCCUACGGGAGGCAGCAGUAGGGAAUCUUCCGCAAUGGGCGAAAGCCUGACGGAGCAACGCCGCGUGAGUGAUGAAGGUCUUCGGAUCGUAAAACUCUGUUAUUAGGGAAGAACAAAUGUGUAAGUAACUAUGCACGUCUUGACGGUACCUAAUCAGAAAGCCACGGCUAACUACGUG